UACAGAGGUCCCAAGCGUUGUUCGGAUUCAUUGGGCGUAAAGGGUGCGUAGGCGGCGUCGUAAGUCGGGUGUGAAAUCUCGGGGCUUAACUCCGAAACUGCAUUCGAUACUGCGGUGCUUGAGGACUGGAGAGGAGACUGGAAUUUACGGUGUAGCAGUGAAAUGCGUAGAGAUCGGAAGGAAGACCAGUGGCGAAGGCGGGUCUCUGGACAGUUCCUGACACUGAGGCGCGAAGGCCAGGGGAGCAAACGGG
Molecule: ribosomal RNA, 253 nt
Filed under: uncultured bacterium
Lineage: Bacteria
Description: partial 16S ribosomal RNA
Rfam family: Bacterial small subunit ribosomal RNA
Source: RNAcentral